UCCAGCAGCCGCGGUAAUUCCAGCUCCAAUAGCGUAUAUUAAAAUUGUUGCAGUUAAAAAGCUCGUAGUUGAAUUUCUGCUAAAAAUAACCGGUCUGCUUUUAAUAAAGGUGGUAUCUUGGUGUGUUUUUAGCAAUAAUGUCCUUUGAAAUGUUUUUUACUUCAUUGUAAUAAAUUAUAUUCAGGAUUUUUACUUUGAGAAAAUUAGAGUGUUUCUAGCAGGCUAACGCUUUGAAUACUGCAGCAUGGAAUAAUAAAAUAGGAUUUUGGUUCUACAUUAUUGGUUUUAAGAGCUAAAUUAAUGAUUGAUAGGGACAGUUGGGGGCAUUUGUAUUUAACUGUCAGAGGUGAAAUUCUUAGAUUUGUUAAAGACAAACUACUGCGAAAGA
Molecule: ribosomal RNA, 388 nt
Filed under: Hepatozoon felis
Lineage: Eukaryota; Apicomplexa; Hepatozoidae
Description: SSU rRNA
Rfam family: Eukaryotic small subunit ribosomal RNA
Source: RNAcentral